Molecule: long non-coding RNA, 661 nt
Filed under: Malus domestica (apple)
Lineage: Eukaryota; Viridiplantae; Streptophyta; Magnoliopsida; Rosales; Rosaceae
Description: long non-coding RNA (MDOM_LNC010662)
Source: RNAcentral
ACUUUAUUUUCCUUUCCUGUUUUUCCUUUCUUUAACUCUGUUGGCCUUCGUGCCAGUUUACCAAUUUGCUAGAAAUUAAUAAACUAUUUUUCUUCACUUUACUUCAUCUUUGUCUCUUUCCCUUGCUUUAAGCUUUUGCCAUAGAAUGAACAAUUAAGUAGGUCGCUUAAAAACAAAGCAAUCAAACCUAUCUUCAUUGCUUUAGGCGCUAACUUCGAGUUGUUAGGUGGGAAUCUUCACUUGCUUGCGGCAUUUUUCAAAACUUUUAACUUACAGGGCUGAAUGAACUCCGUAGUUGCAUGUUUUGUAUCUUUGGUCCACAGAUCUUUAAUCGCUGCGUGCUACUUUUUAAUAAGCAGACAGGCUUGCAUGACUUAUGUGACUGCCGAUCUAGGCUUAGGGCCUCUGCGAAGCUGUUAACUAGAGAGUUAGCGGCCAAACGCCUUACUUACAGAAGCAAGCGAGUCUGCAUGAUUGCUUGGUUGUUAACUUUGAUCUUCUAGUGCGUUGAACUGCUGAGCUUUCUCUCAAGUUGUUGCCACUGACCACAUGCUGCUUAGCUGGUCAUCAUUUCUCCAAUCCUUUUAGUUGCUUGGCCUGCAUCACAACAUACUAAAGAUUGCUGAGACAUGAAAUUUGCUACCCUUCCGAUUCAAAAGUG